Long non-coding RNA from Cyprinus carpio (common carp), 654 nucleotides. RefSeq lists it as uncharacterized. The record is from RefSeq and is a predicted model, not a curated record. Lineage: Eukaryota; Metazoa; Chordata; Actinopteri; Cypriniformes; Cyprinidae.
GAUCACGUUGACAAAAACACAGAAGUAGUGUAAUUUGAAGUCCGAACCAAGUUUAAAAAUUUUGACAGAGGCAGGGUUUGGUGUCCCGAAAGAAUAACAGCGCGUGUCAUGGUGACUUGUUGAUGCAGACAUGAGCUCAAAUCAAAACUCUGCAACCUUUAUGGUCUCCCACCCAAAGAACUCAUCAGGCAUCACGAAGAAGCAAGAUUACUGGGGGGGGUUUCUGUAUUUUUGAUCAAAUAAAUGCAGCCUUGAUGAGCAAAAGAGACAACUUUAAAAAACAUUACCCACAUAUAAGGUGCUGGGACAGAGAAAAAUCCAAUAAACAGGAGCUUAUUGGCACCUUUGAGCAGGUGAGAAGAGAAGAGCUAUUUUGUAGAAAGUGGUUUCAAAAGUGUCCUGUUUUUUUUUUUUUUUUUACCAGUCAUGUAAAUAUUCUAAGACAUACGUCACCCACCCAUGAUUGAUUUAUUCCACAAAUUAAAUUAUUUUUCAGGUAUUGGCAAAUAUUAAUAUUUCUGGUUAAUAAUUCCAGUAAUUUAGUAUUUUUAACAUCUUAAUAAUGCAAUUAUAAUCUGAAAAUAAAACACAUACAAUACAGUUUAAUGUAGCUUGAAGAGAGUUGGAUGGCUGUUGUAUAGUGUCCUGUUAAAU